UCUUUGGAGAGUUUGAUCCUGGCUCAGAACGAACGCUGGCGGCGUGCCUAACACAUGCAAGUCGAGCGCGAAAGGAGCAAUCCGAGUAGAGCGGCGCACGGGUGCGUAACACGUGGAUAAUCU
Molecule: ribosomal RNA, 123 nt
Filed under: Myxococcaceae bacterium
Lineage: Bacteria; Pseudomonadati; Myxococcota; Myxococcia; Myxococcales; Myxococcaceae
Description: partial 16S ribosomal RNA
Rfam family: Bacterial small subunit ribosomal RNA
Source: RNAcentral